RNAcentral lists this ribosomal RNA (1381 nucleotides) under Triticum aestivum (bread wheat). Its description in RNAcentral is "partial small subunit ribosomal RNA". Lineage: Eukaryota; Viridiplantae; Streptophyta; Magnoliopsida; Poales; Poaceae. The record is from RNAcentral.
GAGUGUAGUGUAGCGCGGCCAGUCACCAGUGAGCGCGGCAUUAGCGUGCGUGGAAGGCAUUGUGAGCCCGCUCCUCGCCUCGCCUUCGGUGCUCUUCGGCUCUCGUGCGUGCGCGCGUGCGCUGCGGUUGGUUGCGCAGAGGGGGUGCAAAGGUCCCUCGAGCGGGCCGGGGGAGACGAGACUGGUCGGUCGGUUUGGUUGGUGGCGGGGCGCGGCCAGGCCUUUGGAGGCCGCUCCUGCCCCUGCCUCGCCGCAGCCGGCCCUCCACCCGGAUCCUCCCUCUCGCCGCUCGCGUACCGCAGCAGCUCCCACUACCGCAGCAGCAGCUUCGGCAGCGUGUGCCGCAGCCUAGAGCGCGCGAAGCGCGUCCGGCGCCCCUCCGGGCCGCCGCCCCCGCCCCCGCCGUCGCCCGACCCCAGGUACUUGCACCUCCUCGACGAGGCGCCGUAGAUGUCGCUGCGCGGGUGCGGCCGCGUGCUGGCCGGCCGCAGCGGGGGGCAGGGCGGCGAGGGCCGCCGCGGCGCCGUCGUCCGCUGGCGCGCCGCCUGCCACCUGCUCCACACCUCCCUCUAGUGACCGCCGUCGCCGCCCCUCCUCCUCCGCCGGGGCCGGUGGCGACCGCCCCGGCGCCUCUACUGCGACCUCCUGAAGGACCGCUCCCUCCUGCCGCGGCAGCAGUCCCCCCGCCUCCUCGUCCAUCGCUACGGCUGCUACCGCGAAGAGCCGCCCCGCCUCCCGCGCGCCCCGCCGCCCUCCCCCUCCUUCGCCGUCGAGUACCUGGGGUACCUGGCGCGGCGCUACGUCGCCGUCUUCGCCUACUAGUUCUUGGCGCUCAGGCGACGCUCCAGUGCUCUCUCCUUCGUCCGGAUGUAUCGGCUCGAGCUCAGCAACCAGUGCGUCGAGCUUCUCCUCUUGCGGGUGGACAGGUUUCUCGUCACGUAGACACAAGGUAAUCGAUGCCAAAAUCUUGAGAGUACCACUAUACAGAAACCACACAAGGUCCUCCUCCGUUUGGUCUCUGCCGAAUUUCUCGAGUUCCUUUUCCACUGAGGUCAGUAGUAACGUUUUUGCGGCAGUGUUCUAGAAUCUUCUUGUUUGAGUUACCUCACCAUCUGUACUUGGUUCGAGUCAUCGAUAGGGGAAUGUCGAUAUAUCUAAAACUAAACAAACAAACGGUAAGAAGACAAAUAACCUCAAUUGAGUCAACAACAUUGGAUCAUCUUUAUCGUAUUUGUAGAAUUUACCCUAGUAUUACACAUCUCGCCUUCCGACGUAAACUCGUUUUUCCUUAGAGUAGUCGUCGAAUAUAAGACAGACUAAACGUAAAAAGAAAAAUACGACGGUCAUACAUAUCACUACAUCUCGUGUUAUGUUUGUCUUG